UGAGGAAUUUUGCGCAAUGGGGGAAACCCUGACGCAGCAACGCCGCGUGGGUGAAGAAGGCCUUCGGGUCGUAAAGCCCUGUCAGGUGGGAAGAAUGUCUUGGGGUUGAACAGGCUUCAAGAGUGACGGUACCACCAGAGGAAGCACCGGCUAACUCCGUGCCAGCAGCCGCGGUAAUACGGAGGGUGCGAGCGUUGUUCGGAAUCAUUGGGCGUAAAGGGCGUGCAGGCGGUUGGGUAAGUCUGAUGUGAAAGCCCGGGGCUCAACCCCGGAAGUGCAUUGGAAACUGUCCGACUUGAGUACCGGAGAGGAUGGGGGAAUUCCCGGUGUAGAGGUGAAAUUCGUAGAGAUCGGGAGGAAUACCAGUGGCGAAGGCGCCCAUCUGGACGGAUACUGACGC
Molecule: ribosomal RNA, 400 nt
Filed under: uncultured bacterium
Lineage: Bacteria
Description: bacterial SSU rRNA
Rfam family: Bacterial small subunit ribosomal RNA
Source: RNAcentral